AAUCAACGCUGGCGGCGUGCCUAACACAUGCAAGUCGAACGCGAAAGGGGACUUCGGUUCCUGAGUAGAGUGGCGUCCGGGUGAGUAACACGUGGGUAAUCUGCCUUCGGGUGGGGAAUAACUCAGGGAAACUUGAGCUAAUACCGCAUAAUGCAGCGGCACCUAAUGGUGAUUAGUUGUUAAAGCGGGGGAUCGCAAGACCUCGCGCCUGAAGAGGAGCCUGCGGCAGAUAGCUAGUUGGUAAGGUAAUGGCUUACCAAGGCUUCGAUCUGUAGCUGGUCUGAGAGGACGGCCAGCCACACUGGCACUGACACACGGGCCAGACUCCUACGGGAGGCAGCAGUGGGGAAUUUUGGGCAAUGGGACGAAAGCCUGACCCAGCAACGCCGCGUGAGGGAGGAAAUCCUUCGGGAUGUAAACCUCACAAGCAAGGGAAGAGAGCUACGGG
This 448-nucleotide ribosomal RNA is filed under the name uncultured bacterium. RNAcentral's name for it is "bacterial SSU rRNA". It matches the Rfam family "Bacterial small subunit ribosomal RNA", at positions 32 to 458 of the family's 1533-position model. The record is from RNAcentral.